AGAGUGCGAUGAGAGCAGCAGCCGAUCCUCUGAAACAGCUUCUGAAGGGAUGUGUGAAUCCUUCCUGGAGCAUCCUCAUUCCAGUGACUAAUGUGUGAAACCGAGCAGGAAUAGAACGAAAAGUUACUCACUCUGCUCUUGCCCGCGGAUGGAGAGUGAACGUUGAUCCUUACUACACUGCUACAGGAGACUGAGGAUCCUUCAUCUUCACACAGAGCAGGGUCUGCAUCUCUCUCAUCAGCGUGGCCAGCGCUGAUGGCUCUGGAAUAGCAACUCUUCAGCAAUCGUGGGUGUGCAAGAAUCAUAAGAUUACAAACAUAUUUACAGUUUGAUUUGUUUUUUUCUGAUUUUUGAGUUUCUAGGUUGUUUUUCCAAGCUCUUCCCUACAACAUUGCAGAAUCUGGCAUAAAAUCCAGGCGGCUAGCAAGAAACACAGCGGAGAACUCCUGAAUCAAGACGUCUGGUUCUCAGCUGAGUAACACAGGACUUGCUUUUCCGGGGAGAAUCCAUAGAGAUGGAUGUUGGGCAAUGAAAAUGCAGAAGGAAGACCAGGAUGAUGUGAUUGUGUUGGACCAGAAGAUAAGAGUUUUAUAUUCAGUGUUCCAUCUGAAGUGAGUGCUGUCGAUGCACCUAACCUUGUGACAGAGCAAAAACACUGCCAGAAGAAUAUUAUGACCUGGAAAACUGUUUAUUCCCCUUUAAAAACGUGUGACCUGGCAAAGAGGCUCUUAAUGGGAAGACUUGGGAAUUCCUCUGCCCUGUGUGUGGAUGUCAGGAGUCGGCAGCCAAAACGUCACUGUAUCUUGUCACCUCUUGGUCUAGGAACUUGGUCCUGCAAACUGGGAAUUCACCCUCGGAGAGCUUAUGAAAAUGUUGAUAAGUCAAAGAAGAGUGUUCCGGAUGUCUGCAGCAACAGUUCACCACUGGCAGAGCUCAUCUGUUUACAUCCUCUAUAAGGAUCCCGUGGGACACACUUAAUCCUGGUUUUGGAUGUUGGGGUAUGGGCCAGGAUGUUUGUAGUCCAGUCAGUUGUGGGAUUUUAUGCCAAUGAUGUUUUAAGGUAAAAUAAAUAAAGAGACUUUUUCAGCGCA
Long non-coding RNA from Strigops habroptila (Kakapo), 1091 nucleotides. RefSeq lists it as uncharacterized. Lineage: Eukaryota; Metazoa; Chordata; Aves; Psittaciformes; Psittacidae. The transcript has 3 exons. The record is from RefSeq and is a predicted model, not a curated record.